This is a non-coding RNA of Podarcis lilfordi (Lilford's wall lizard), 75 nucleotides long. NCBI's taxonomy places the organism in Eukaryota, Metazoa, Chordata, Lepidosauria, Squamata, Lacertidae. The record is from the annotation of a GenBank genome assembly.
UGGGGUAGCUCAGUUGGUAAAGCAUGAGACUCGUAAUCUCAUGAGUCACGAGUUCAAGUCCCACAUUGGGCAAAA